Molecule: ribosomal RNA, 268 nt
Filed under: uncultured bacterium
Lineage: Bacteria
Description: partial 16S ribosomal RNA
Rfam family: Bacterial small subunit ribosomal RNA
Source: RNAcentral
UAGGGAAUCUUCCACAAUGGACGCAAGUCUGAUGGAGCAACGCCGCGUGAGUGAAGAAGGCUUUCGGGUCGUAAAACUCUGUUAUUGAAGAAGAACGUGUGUGACAGUAACUGGUCAUGCAGUGACGGUAUUCAAUCAGAAAGUCACGGCUAACUACGUGCCGGCAGCCGCGGUAUACGUAGGUGGCAAGCGUUGUCCGGAUUUAUUGGGCGUAAAGCGAGUGCAGGCGGUCUUUAAGUCUGAUGUGAAAGCCUUCGGCUUAACCGAA